This is a non-coding RNA of Pelobates cultripes (western spadefoot toad), 222 nucleotides long. The record is from the annotation of a GenBank genome assembly. NCBI's taxonomy places the organism in Eukaryota, Metazoa, Chordata, Amphibia, Anura, Pelobatidae.
GCCAGUCAGAAUUGUUUAUGUUUUCAAGAAUAUAUGUGUGUGUAGUGGAUGCAGUGAGAGUAUUUGAUUAGUGAAUACAGUAUGUGCGUGUUUGUGUAGUAGAUGCAGUGUGUGUGUUUGUGUAGUGUGUGUAUAUAGUGAAUGCAGUGAGUGUUUGUGUAGUGUGUAUAUAAUUAAUGCAGUGUGUUUGUGUAAUGUGUAUAUAGUGAAUGCAGUGUGUGU